Molecule: unclassified non-coding RNA, 1259 nt
Filed under: Hevea brasiliensis (rubber tree)
Lineage: Eukaryota; Viridiplantae; Streptophyta; Magnoliopsida; Malpighiales; Euphorbiaceae
Source: RNAcentral
UACUUCACUUGUCAAAUUUAGCAAAUCAAGAGAAUACUAAUACUACUAAUCACACGAGGAUUAAGUACUCACUAAACACCAAUAACUGCACAAAUGGAGAAAGAAAGAGACAACAAGGGAUGUCUGGUGAUCUCACUUUCAUAAUCUCUCUAAACCAUCUUCCACUGCCACACUAGGAAGGCUCAAACAAAAAUACCUAAGUUAGAGUGCACACCAGAAUGAAAACUAUUAUGUCACACGAAAAGCCCCGAUGGCGGCAGCAGCAUAUAGCAAGAUUGUAUAGCUACCUAAUGGGGUAGAAGCCCUAUAGAACUUAAAAGGAUGUUUUUAGGAUGCAAACACAUAAUUUUGUAAUCCAGAAGUAGUAUGCUUUUGACUAUAACUGAGAUACUUACAACCUUUCUACACAACCCGGCACACUGAAAGCUAUGAUUUCUGGAGGACGCAUUUCUCAUACAAAGCUAAGAUAUCCUUCUUGUUUGCGUUCUUCAGUUGGAGCAGUUCAGCGCCAAAGUUAUGCUUUGUAAGUUCCUGCUUUAGUUUCUGCACAGUAAACUUUGUAUAAUCUUCACCAUUCGUUUGUUGACUAUGACCAUCAUCUUCUCCUCUGAAUACAGAACCUCCAUCUUCUGGGGAGGUAUACUUUAAGGGACUGGUUGUACUCUUGGACCUCUUAUUUCCUCUGAUUGGUCUAUCAUUUGUAUCCAUGUCAUGGACAGAUUCAAUUCCAGCUUCGUAUUCAUCUAUCCUGGCACGUUUGCCAUGGGAAGCAGUUCUAAGUUUGCUAUCCAGUGCAGUUUCAUUCAGCCGAACUGCAGUUAACUGUUGUUGAAGAAGAUCUAGCUUUCCUUGUGUAGCUUGCAACUGAAGAGAGAGUGCUUCCGCCCUAUUGGUUGCUUCAGACCGCGCUGCACGCUCAGUCUCUAACAGACUUUCAAGGACUUGCACAGUACUGGCCCUUUGUUCAUUAUUUGAUUUCAGUAGCAUCUCAAUUUCCUUUUCCCUUUCUUCUACUCGGGCCUCCAGCAUUGCAACUUUUGACCUUGCAUCCUUCUCAGCGCGAUGAUACCUCCCUACUUCAUCAGUCAAGUCUUCCCUUUCCCUCUCUAACUUUUCAAUAGCUCUGUCAGCCUUCUCAAUCUGAGCUAAUCUUUCCAUAGCUAACCGUUGAAUUUCAUUCUUCUCUUUCAGGGCCGCAGCUGCUUCAGCCCUUGCUUUAUCAGCAAGCUCAGUCGCCCUUUUUGCCUCUCUUUCAGCUG